GCCUGGCUGGCUCAGUCCGUACAGCAUGAGAUUGUCAAUCUCAGGGUUUUGAGUUCAAGACCCACGCUGGGUG
This 73-nucleotide transfer RNA is filed under the name Ailuropoda melanoleuca (giant panda). It matches the Rfam family "tRNA". From Rfam's summary of the family: Transfer RNA (tRNA) molecules are approximately 80 nucleotides in length. Their secondary structure includes four short double-helical elements and three loops (D, anti-codon, and T loops). The record is from Rfam by way of RNAcentral. Lineage: Eukaryota; Metazoa; Chordata; Mammalia; Carnivora; Ursidae.